Molecule: long non-coding RNA, 1644 nt
Organism: Oreochromis aureus
Lineage: Eukaryota; Metazoa; Chordata; Actinopteri; Cichliformes; Cichlidae
Source: Ensembl
GAAACCGAGAGGAGGGGACGUGGUGUCAGGUUCUGUGUAAGCCCGUUGUCCUGCCCGUGUUAUCAUGUGACGGUGACUUCUGACCGAACCGAACCAUAACAAAUAUUCACAAUGGGUUAAAAUGAAGUAAAUUUGGGGUUUGUGUUGUGCGCAUGCGCAACGUAUGCGCAGAAACAACGGGUAGGAUGGAUUGUGAGGUAGGAUGGAUUCCCGGAACACCUGGGCUGUGUCCCUUUUGACAGUUCACUCUUCGGCCGCUCCCUUCUGCCGUAUUUUGCGGCAAAAUGAUCCACACCAACCGCCGCGCUAUGGAUUGUGGGAUAUAUGGGGCCACGAAGCGUGCACCGGACUACGCUUGAUAUUUGGGGAAAUCGACGGCGCAUUUGGAGUAUGCAUUUGAAGUGCACUUCGAAUUGGGACAGCCGUCGUCGCGUGGCGGUGACGUAAUCGCACUUAAAAUGCGUACUUCAAGCGUGCAUACCCUGAAUUGGGACACAGCUCUGGUCUCAGGUACGCGCAGGUGCGUUCCCCACCUCAGUGAGGCUCGCAGGUGGAAGCUGCGGCUUCAGGCAAAACCACACCCAUCACGGCGGUGAUGUCACACUGUUUAAACCUGAGGAGCUUCACAAAUCAACAUUAAUCCUCAGACCUGCAGCAGCCGUGAGAGGAGCGACACACAGCAUUCAGUCACAGACCAACGUUUUCCAUCAUGUCCCUCUCAUUUCAUCAUUUAUUGAUCCGCUCGACGCUGCAAACAUCUGCACAGAUGUGAGCCACUCCUCCGCUGGACCAUCAGAGCGCUGGAGACACGGCGAGGAAUCUCUCAGCGAUUAGAAAUCAGUCCUGCGGCUCAGUGCAGAUUCAUAUCAGCUGGUUCAGACCCAACUGAAAUGUGCGUUAUUGCCGCGUGUCCCACAGGGUGAAACCGUGAGCUCUCUCCAGAUCUUCAAACUUUCUUGUUUCAAACAGUGAGCGUGUGGGGCCACAGUUCAUCAUCACAGACCAUCAGGUGCUCCUCACACACAGAGGAGGACAGAAACACCUGGACCAGCAGGUGUGACUGUCUGAAGUAAUGCACUCAAGCAGCACGGCUGUACGCAUGCUUACCUCCACGACUCCAUCACUGAAGACAAAGCCAAUCAGCUGAGCUGAAUCCACCUGACACAAAGAACAAAGGGCAUCUGUGAACAUCCAAAGAUGGAGCUGUGACUGUUUUGACUUCUCACACUCCAGUUCGUGCUCGUCUUCAUCAGCUGUGUCACACAGGAACAGAGCAGGAAAAACAGAAAGAAUCUGCAGUUUAAAGAAAACAGAAUGGCACACAGACACCACACUGACAUCCUGACCCGGCAUUUGUCAGAGCUGGAAACCAUGAUGGAUGAUGGACUGGUCCUUGCUCUGUUGGGCUGCAGGCACCUUAGGCGUGCACCAGUCUGGAGGCUCUCUGAGCCCCUCAGUGAUGUCCCUGGCUAACAUCCUCUUUGCCUCCAAUUUGACUUUGUGUAGGAGGAGAAAUGUUACGAUCCGUGCUUUGUUUCCAUUCACUGAGUCCAGGAGGUGCUGUCCAGAGAUUCCUCCCUCUGAGCUGGAGUCUGGGUUUCCUGCACCUGCUCUCCAUCUGUUGAAAUUUAAGAAUCAGUGCUC